Molecule: long non-coding RNA, 1559 nt
Organism: Equus asinus (donkey)
Lineage: Eukaryota; Metazoa; Chordata; Mammalia; Perissodactyla; Equidae
Source: Ensembl
CUUUAUGUGAGUGUUUUGAGGAUUAAUGAGUAAAUAAAUAUAAAGUACUUAAAACAGUGCCAGGUAUGUACUGAGCUCUCAAUAAAUGUGAGCUCUUAUAAUUUCUAUUGUUAUUCACUGGAAUGUUCACUGAAGAGAGAUUUUUGUUUUAUUCACCAACUUCAUCCUGGUGACUCGAACAGUGUCUAACGCAUAGUAGAUGCUUAAGGAAUGUGUGUGAAUUUAUUGUUGUAAACUCCGUUCCGACCAAAUUCUUCCCUGUAACAUACUUUAUAUACUCCUACCUCCACGCCCUUGCUCAUGCCAUUCCUGCCUCUGGAAGGGCUGUACCCGGUCCAGCCUAAUUUCUCCUACUACUUGGAAUUUCCAGCCCCAGCCUCCCCUCCCCUCAGAGGACCUCGCUGGCUCAGAACCUGCACAAAACCACCGCCCAGUAUAGGCUUGGUGGUUUGUGGCUGGGCUUUUAUGCUUUGGCUCCAAAGCACAGUUUCCGCACCGACUUGGCGCUUAGCGCUCCCUGCCUCCUGGGGUGGCCCCUAAGAACUGGAGCACCCCAGCUACUAUAUGUGUCCUUUAUCUUGUGACUUUGACAUUCAGACAGGGCUUCCCAGGUGAAGCCACCUGAAUAACUAGACACAACUAGACAUGUGGGCUCCAAACCACAGUUUCUGGGCUUCCUCAUUGGUGAGCUGAGAGACAUGGCAUCUGUGUGUCCGAGAAAGACGAGCCAGGCGGCUCCACAUCAACAGGCUGCCUUCCACCCGGACGGGGCGACAGCUGCCUGUAACUUGGCUGUUUACGCACUAAAAAAAGAAAUUCCAUGGUGACCAGUUGACUCAAGCCAGCUCCCGUUGUGAGGCGGUAGUUUCAAAGAAAUCCCUGAUGACACCAAAGGCUCUCCACCCAGUCCUUAAUAAAAAAGAGGGAAAACAGGAGCCGAGCUUGAGCAGGAGCACGCGUGAGUCAGUCGUCCGAACCGCCUGCAGGGUGCAGUCUCACGGCUGGAGCUGGAUCUAGAAGGUCUCGGCCUAACAGCCCCCUCCAGGCAGGCUUGUCCCCUGCAAACCCCGCUCCCCAGAGACGAGGCACUCACCACUUCCAGAGAGGGCCCGUUCUGCCAUCAGGAAGGUCUUCUCUGCCAGGCUGGGGGCUGGUGGACAGGAGACUGAGCUCACCAGUGCCAGGAAGAUGACCAUCUGGACCUGCCAUCCCUACAAAGAAACAACUUUGUUCUUUCUCUGGAGUUGCCAAACCCUAGAAUGUCAGUGCUGGAAAGGAGCUUGAGCCAUCUGGUCCCAGCGUGGCAGCCUCGUCUCCUGUCAGGGUCCACCUCUGCCUGAAGCAGUGGAUGUGGCCGGGUCAGAGGCUGGCUGUGAGGACACUGUGGUCCAUGUGCUCCAGGGUGCAGUGUGGAGAGGGCGUGGGCACGCGCCGCAUCUGGCCCAACUGCCCCUCCUACAGAUGGGCAAACCAUGCAAGUGAAGAUCCUUUCUCUUCCUUCACCUGACCCUCAGGACACCAGAUCUGACUGCUGUGUUGUCACAGGAGACAGGUUUGUG